AGGUUAUAGUUGUUGAGAGAAAAAAGAGAGGUUUUUGUUGGGUUACUUUAGUACUUGUAUUCGGUGUUGCAUAGGAUGUCGUGUCGUAGGGUGUUGGGUUUUGUUUCUUUGGCUUGUGAGUUUACAUACUGAGCAUGUAUGAUGCUUGUGCGUCUCUAUCAAACUCUUUCUGCUUCCUUAUCUCACAAUAACAAUAACAAAAACAUUCUAAUUCUUUCCAAAAAUGGGGAUGGGAACAAGCACCUUCGUUACUAGAUGGAUCAACUUUCUAACCAUGGUUUUGGCUAUGGUUGUGAUAAUAUUUGGGGUGUGGAUGAGCACUCGUCAUGAUGCCUGCAGAAAGUCUCUCACUAUACCUGUGCUAAGCAUUGGAGGAGUUAUUUUCUUAAUAUCCGUAGUUGGUUUUUUGGGUGCCGUGAAAAGAAGCUCCAUAUUGCUAUGGCUUUAUCUGAUCAUGCUGUUCUUCAUUUUGGUUGGGAUCCUGGUCUUCACGGUAUUAGUAUUCAUUGUGACUAAUAAUGGAUCAGGCCAUAGUGUGACUGGCUUGAGGUACAAGGAGUAUCAACUUCAAGAUUAUAGCUCUUGGUUUCUCAAAGAAUUAAACAAUUCUCAUAACUGGGAGCGAUUGCGGGUUUGUCUGGUUAAAACUGAAGGCUGCAAUAACCUAUCGAAAAAAUAUAAGACUUACAAACAAUAUAAAUUAGCUAAAUUGACCCCAAUUGAGGCUGGCUGCUGCCGACCACCUUCUGAAUGUGGAUAUCCUGCUGUAAACGCAUCCUACUAUGACUUGACCUUUCAUCCGGUUAGCCCUAACAAUGACUGCAAGCGGUACAAAAAUUCUCGGGCCGUCAAAUGCUAUGAUUGUGAUUCUUGCAAGGCCGGCGUGGCUCAAUAUAUGAAAACUGAGUGGAGAGUUGUUGCAAUAUUUAAUGUUGUUUUAUUUGCUAUUUUGGUAAGUCAGUAUUGCCUCUUUGUAAGAUCAUCAUAGUUGACAACAAUCAGGAGAAGUUCUUCAAUCCACCUAGUUCCAAUAUAUUGUGUCCUUCAAUAAACAAUUUAGGUUCAAAACUGUGUAUGAAAUAUGGAUCCCCUACAGCAAUUGCAUGGUACACCACUUGUGCUGUGGGAAUGGUUAAAGUGUCUAUUAUAUACUUUGUGGGAUGCUGUGCGAGACGAAAUGCGGCUAGGCGCCAAUCUAAGGGUUGAAGGCAACGGAAAGCAUCCACAAAAUUCUUUUGAAAUUUGUUUGAAGAGGA
Non-coding RNA from Cicer arietinum (chickpea), 1256 nucleotides. Lineage: Eukaryota; Viridiplantae; Streptophyta; Magnoliopsida; Fabales; Fabaceae. The record is from RefSeq and is a predicted model, not a curated record.